RNAcentral lists this ribosomal RNA (1436 nucleotides) under uncultured organism. Its description in RNAcentral is "16S ribosomal RNA". It matches the Rfam family "Bacterial small subunit ribosomal RNA". The record is from RNAcentral.
CUAGCUACAGGCUUAACACAUGCAAGUCGAGGGGCAUCAGGAAGAAAGCUUGCUUUCUUUGCUGGCGACCGGCGCACGGGUGAGUAACACGUAUCCAACCUGCCCUUUACUCGGGGAUAGCCUUUCGAAAGAAAGAUUAAUACCCGAUAGCAUAAUGAUCCCGCAUGGUUUCAUUAUUAAAGGAUUCCGGUAAAGGAUGGGGAUGCGUUCCAUUAGGUUGUUGGUGAGGUAACGGCCCACCAAGCCUUCGAUGGAUAGGGGUUCUGAGAGGAAGGUCCCCCACAUUGGAACUGAGACACGGUCCAAACUCCUACGGGAGGCAGCAGUGAGGAAUAUUGGUCAAUGGGCGCUAGCCUGAACCAGCCAAGUAGCGUGAAGGAUGAAGGCUCUAUGGGUCGUAAACUUCUUUUAUAUAAGAAUAAAGUGCAGUAUGUAUACUGUUUUGUAUGUAUUAUAUGAAUAAGGAUCGGCUAACUCCGUGCCAGCAGCCGCGGUAAUACGGAGGAUCCGAGCGUUAUCCGGAUUUAUUGGGUUUAAAGGGAGCGUAGGUGGACUGGUAAGUCAGUUGUGAAAGUUUGCGGCUCAACCGUAAAAUUGCAGUUGAUACUGUCAGUCUUGAGUACAGUAGAGGUGGGCGGAAUUCGUGGUGUAGCGGUGAAAUGCUUAGAUAUCACGAAGAACUCCGAUUGCGAAGGCAGCUCACUGGACUGCAACUGACACUGAUGCUCGAAAGUGUGGGUAUCAAACAGGAUUAGAUACCCUGGUAGUCCACACAGUAAACGAUGAAUACUCGCUGUUUGCGAUAUACAGUAAGCGGCCAAGCGAAAGCAUUAAGUAUUCCACCUGGGGAGUACGCCGGCAACGGUGAAACUCAAAGGAAUUGACGGGGGCCCGCACAAGCGGAGGAACAUGUGGUUUAAUUCGAUGAUACGCGAGGAACCUUACCCGGGCUUAAAUUGCAGUGGAAUGAUGUGGAAACAUGUCAGUGAGCAAUCACCGCUGUGAAGGUGCUGCAUGGUUGUCGUCAGCUCGUGCCGUGAGGUGUCGGCUUAAGUGCCAUAACGAGCGCAACCCUUAUCUUUAGUUACUAACAGGUUAUGCUGAGGACUCUAGAGAGACUGCCGUCGUAAGAUGUGAGGAAGGUGGGGAUGACGUCAAAUCAGCACGGCCCUUACGUCCGGGGCUACACACGUGUUACAAUGGGGGGUACAGAAGGCAGCUAGCGGGUGACCGUAUGCUAAUCCCAAAAUCCUCUCUCAGUUCGGAUCGAAGUCUGCAACCCGACUUCGUGAAGCUGGAUUCGCUAGUAAUCGCGCAUCAGCCACGGCGCGGUGAAUACGUUCCCGGGCCUUGUACACACCGCCCGUCAAGCCAUGGGAGCCGGGGGUACCUGAAGUACGUAACCGCAAGGAUCGUCCUAGGGUAAAACUGGUGAC